This 2618-nucleotide ribosomal RNA is filed under the name Salmonella enterica subsp. enterica. RNAcentral's name for it is "partial 23S ribosomal RNA". It matches the Rfam family "Bacterial large subunit ribosomal RNA". Lineage: Bacteria; Pseudomonadati; Pseudomonadota; Gammaproteobacteria; Enterobacterales; Enterobacteriaceae. RNAcentral also lists the same sequence under 1 other name. The record is from RNAcentral.
AAUCCAUAGGUUAAUGAGGCGAACCGGGGGAACUGAAACAUCUAAGUACCCCGAGGAAAAGAAAUCAACCGAGAUUCCCCCAGUAGCGGCGAGCGAACGGGGAGGAGCCCAGAGCCUGAAUCAGCAUGUGUGUUAGUGGAAGCGUCUGGAAAGGCGCGCGAUACAGGGUGACAGCCCCGUACACAAAAGCGCAUGUGCUGUGAGCUCGAUGAGUAGGGCGGGACACGUGGUAUCCUGUCUGAAUAUGGGGGGACCAUCCUCCAAGGCUAAAUACUCCUGACUGACCGAUAGUGAACCAGUACCGUGAGGGAAAGGCGAAAAGAACCCCGGCGAGGGGAGUGAAAAAGAACCUGAAACCGUGUACGUACAAGCAGUGGGAGCACCCUUUGGGUGUGACUGCGUACCUUUUGUAUAAUGGGUCAGCGACUUAUAUUCUGUAGCAAGGUUAACCGAAUAGGGGAGCCGGAGGGAAACCGAGUCUUAAUUGGGCGUUAAGUUGCAGGGUAUAGACCCGAAACCCGGUGAUCUAGCCAUGGGCAGGUUGAAGGUUGGGUAACACUAACUGGAGGACCGAACCGACUAAUGUUGAAAAAUUAGCGGAUGACCUGUGGCUGGGGGUGAAAGGCCAAUCAAACCGGGAGAUAGCUGGUUCUCCCCGAAAGCUAUUUAGGUAGCGCCUCGUGAAUUCAUCUCCGGGGGUAGAGCACUGUUUCGGCUAGGGGGCCAUCCCGGCUUACCAACCCGAUGCAAACUGCGAAUACCGGAGAAUGUUAUCACGGGAGACACACGGCGGGUGCUAACGUCCGUCGUGAAGAGGGAAACAACCCAGACCGCCAGCUAAGGUCCCAAAGUCAUGGUUAAGUGGGAAACGAUGUGGGAAGGCCCAGACAGCCAGGAUGUUGGCUUAGAAGCAGCCAUCAUUUAAAGAAAGCGUAAUAGCUCACUGGUCGAGUCGGCCUGCGCGGAAGAUGUAACGGGGCUAAACCAUGCACCGAAGCUGCGGCAGCGACACUGUGUGUUGUUGGGUAGGGGAGCGUUCUGUAAGCCUGCGAAGGUGGCCUGUGAGGGUUGCUGGAGGUAUCAGAAGUGCGAAUGCUGACAUAAGUAACGAUAAAGCGGGUGAAAAGCCCGCUCGCCGGAAGACCAAGGGUUCCUGUCCAACGUUAAUCGGGGCAGGGUGAGUCGACCCCUAAGGCGAGGCCGAAAGGCGUAGUCGAUGGGAAACGGGUUAAUAUUCCCGUACUUGGUGUUACUGCGAAGGGGGGACGGAGAAGGCUAUGUUGGCCGGGCGACGGUUGUCCCGGUUUAAGCGUGUAGGUGUGUGUUCCAGGUAAAUCCGGUUCACUUUAACACUGAGGCGUGACGACGAGGCACUACGGUGCUGAAGCAACAAAUGCCCUGCUUCCAGGAAAAGCCUCUAAGCAUCAGGUAACAUCAAAUCGUACCCCAAACCGACACAGGUGGUCAGGUAGAGAAUACCAAGGCGCUUGAGAGAACUCGGGUGAAGGAACUAGGCAAAAUGGUGCCGUAACUUCGGGAGAAGGCACGCUGACACGUAGGUGAAGUGAUUUACUCAUGGAGCUGAAGUCAGUCGAAGAUACCAGCUGGCUGCAACUGUUUAUUAAAAACACAGCACUGUGCAAACACGAAAGUGGACGUAUACGGUGUGACGCCUGCCCGGUGCCGGAAGGUUAAUUGAUGGGGUCAGCGCAAGCGAAGCUCCUGAUCGAAGCCCCGGUAAACGGCGGCCGUAACUAUAACGGUCCUAAGGUAGCGAAAUUCCUUGUCGGGUAAGUUCCGACCUGCACGAAUGGCGUAAUGAUGGCCAGGCUGUCUCCACCCGAGACUCAGUGAAAUUGAACUCGCUGUGAAGAUGCAGUGUACCCGCGGCAAGACGGAAAGACCCCGUGAACCUUUACUAUAGCUUGACACUGAACAUUGAGCCUUGAUGUGUAGGAUAGGUGGGAGGCUUUGAAGUGUGGACGCCAGUCUGCAUGGAGCCGACCUUGAAAUACCACCCUUUAAUGUUUGAUGUUCUAACGUGGACCCGUUACCCGGGUUGCGGACAGUGUCUGGUGGGUAGUUUGACUGGGGCGGUCUCCUCCUAAAGAGUAACGGAGGAGCACGAAGGUUGGCUAAUCCUGGUCGGACAUCAGGAGGUUAGUGCAAUGGCAUAAGCCAGCUUGACUGCGAGCGUGACGGCGCGAGCAGGUGCGAAAGCAGGUCAUAGUGAUCCGGUGGUUCUGAAUGGAAGGGCCAUCGCUCAACGGAUAAAAGGUACUCCGGGGAUAACAGGCUGAUACCGCCCAAGAGUUCAUAUCGACGGCGGUGUUUGGCACCUCGAUGUCGGCUCAUCACAUCCUGGGGCUGAAGUAGGUCCCAAGGGUAUGGCUGUUCGCCAUUUAAAGUGGUACGCGAGCUGGGUUUAGAACGUCGUGAGACAGUUCGGUCCCUAUCUGCCGUGGGCGCUGGAGAACUGAGGGGGGCUGCUCCUAGUACGAGAGGACCGGAGUGGACGCAUCACUGGUGUUCGGGUUGUCAUGCCAAUGGCACUGCCCGGUAGCUAAAUGCGGAAGAGAUAAGUGCUGAAAGCAUCUAAGCACGAAACUUGCCCCGAG